Syzygium oleosum is the source of this 220-nucleotide long non-coding RNA. RefSeq lists it as uncharacterized. The record is from RefSeq and is a predicted model, not a curated record. NCBI's taxonomy places the organism in Eukaryota, Viridiplantae, Streptophyta, Magnoliopsida, Myrtales, Myrtaceae. The transcript has 2 exons.
AUCGCAACACUGCGAUGUCGGUUGUUUCUUGUCUACUUGCCUUGACUAUCAUCAAGACACCGAGAAAGUUGGAAUGGACGUGAACAAGGCUGGAGCUUGUGCAGAUUCAUGCUCUCGGAGUUGCCGGAAGACCUAUCCAUUGCACUGAAGUCAUUGAACUUUUGUAAUGCCUUUGUGGUUUCAUUGCUCAAGAAAUAAAAAGUGUCUUUUUAAUAUUCAA